UACAGAGGUCUCAAGCGUUGUUCGGAUUCAUUGGGCGUAAAGGGUGCGUAGGUGGCGGGGUAAGUCUGGUGUGAAAUCUCGGGGCUCAACCCCGAAACUGCACUGGAUACUGCCUUGCUCGAGUACUGGAGAGGAGAUUGGAAUUUACGGUGUAGCAGUGAAAUGCGUAGAUAUCGUAAGGAAGACCAGUGGCGAAGGCGGCCCCCUGGACCGGUACUGACGCUGAGGCGCGAAAGCGUGGGUAGCAAACGGG
Molecule: ribosomal RNA, 253 nt
Filed under: uncultured prokaryote
Description: partial 16S ribosomal RNA
Rfam family: Bacterial small subunit ribosomal RNA
Source: RNAcentral